GAGACACCCUUCUGGGGCAAGACUUGCUUCAGUGGGUCUUUGGUGCUCACUGAGUCUGCCCCCUGAGUGUGUCCAU
This 76-nucleotide microRNA precursor is filed under the name Myotis davidii. RNAcentral describes it as "mir-9229 microRNA precursor family". It matches the Rfam family "mir-9229 microRNA precursor family". The record is from Rfam by way of RNAcentral. Lineage: Eukaryota; Metazoa; Chordata; Mammalia; Chiroptera; Vespertilionidae.